AUUGAACGCUGGCGGCAGGCCUAACACAUGCAAGUCGAGCGGCAGCAGGGGGAUUGCUUGCGGUUUCAGCUGGCGACGGGCGGACGAGGGAUAAAAACCUGGCUAGCUGUGUGGUCGAACGUGCGGAAACGGGCGAAAAUACGGCAAACGCCCAGAGGGAGAACGUGGGGGAGCUGCGGAUCUCCGGACAUCGGGUGAGUCGAGGUCGGAUUAGCUGGUUGGUGGGGUAAAGGCCUACCAAGGCGACGAUCCGUAGCUGGUCUGAGAGGAUGAUCAGUCACACUGGAACUGAGACACGGUCCAGACUCCUACGGGAGGCAGCAGUGGGGAAUAUUGGACAAAGGGCGAAAGCCUGAUCCAGCCAUGCCGCGUGGGUGAAGAAGGUCUUCGGAUUGUAAAGCCCUUUUGGUUGGGAGGAAGGGCAGUAAGUUAAUACCGUGCUGUUUUGACGUUACCAAAAGAAUAAGCACCGGCUAACUUCGUG
RNAcentral lists this ribosomal RNA (484 nucleotides) under uncultured bacterium. RNAcentral's name for it is "partial 16S ribosomal RNA". It matches the Rfam family "Bacterial small subunit ribosomal RNA", at positions 29 to 507 of the family's 1533-position model. The record is from RNAcentral.